This 46-nucleotide non-coding RNA is filed under the name Schistosoma curassoni. The record is from RNAcentral. Lineage: Eukaryota; Metazoa; Platyhelminthes; Trematoda; Strigeidida; Schistosomatidae.
CCGCUACUGAGGUGUCCCACAAUAGAACGAAACAGCUGUCUAGUGC